This 754-nucleotide long non-coding RNA is filed under the name Marmota monax (woodchuck). The record is from RNAcentral. Lineage: Eukaryota; Metazoa; Chordata; Mammalia; Rodentia; Sciuridae.
AUUAAAAAAAUUCUCUCUCUCUUUAAAAAAAAAAAUGGGGGCUUGGGUGGCUCAGUGGUAGAGCACUCGCCUAGCACAUGCAAGGCCUGGGUUCGCUCCUCAGCACCACAUAAAAACAAGUAAAUAAAAUAAAGGUAUUGUGUCCAACUACAAUUAAAAAAUAAAUAUUAAAAAAAAGACCUGGGUGUUUAUCAGAGUUUUAGAGUUUUAUUGUUACCAGGAGAGUCACAAUUGCCUUCCCACUGCACUGGUUUAGAAAGAGAUAGGAGUCUUACUCUCUUCUGUAGAUGGCAGUCUACCUAGACUGUCUCUGAGCAUUCAUGUUGGAUUCCUGCUAAGAGCCUGCAACAUUGGGACAUGCUCAGAGGGGAGGGACCAGGUAGGUUGGGUUUCUUAGAAGGGAAUAGAAGUAGUAGAGAGUCACUAUUGCAGCACUCCAGUCAGAAUAGCAGCUAUUAUGAAGAUAAGCAACAAUAAGUGUUGUUGAGGAUGUGAGGGAAAAAAGGCACACUCAUACAUUGCUGGUGGGACUGCAAAUUGGUGCUGCCAAUAUGGAAAGCAAUAUAGGGAUUCCUUGGGAAUCUGGGAAUGGAACCACCAUUUGACCCAGCUAUCCCUCUACCUAACCCAAGACUUAAAAUAGCAUACUACAGGGACACAGCCACAUCAAUGUUUAUAGCAGCACAAUUCAUAAUAGCUAAACUGUGGAGCCAACCUAGAUGCCCUAGAGUGGAUGAGUAGAUAAAAAAAAAUG